This 230-nucleotide ribosomal RNA is filed under the name uncultured bacterium. RNAcentral's name for it is "partial 16S ribosomal RNA". It matches the Rfam family "Bacterial small subunit ribosomal RNA", at positions 562 to 791 of the family's 1533-position model. The record is from RNAcentral.
AAAGGGUGCGUAGGCGGGCAAUUAAGUCAGUGGUGAAAUCUUGGGGCUCAACCCCGAAACUGCCAUUGAUACUAUUUGUCUUGAAUACUGUGGAGGUUAGCGGAAUAUGUCAUGUAGCGGUGAAAUGCUUAGAUAUGACAUAGAACACCGAUUGCGAAGGCAGCUGGCUACACAAGCAUUGACGCUGAGGCACGAAAGCGUGGGGAUCAAACAGGAUUAGAUACCCGUGU